Molecule: long non-coding RNA, 830 nt
Organism: Orbicella faveolata
Lineage: Eukaryota; Metazoa; Cnidaria; Anthozoa; Scleractinia; Merulinidae
Source: RefSeq, a predicted model, not a curated record
CAUUACAGGUAAUAUUAAAAUAAUUCAAAUUAUUAUGGGAAGGUAAAUCUAAGAGUUCUGAUUGGUUCUUUCUUAGUCAGGAUUUUGCCAUAGACUGUUUCGAAUCCAUAAACACAGCCAUAAUCUGACUGCCUUUAUUUUUUUAUUUUUGUUGUUUUUGAGUUUCGUACAAUAAACUACUUACCUAACCUAGCUUGCUCGGGUCGUACUAGGGAAUAUUGGUCCUCUGUCACUUUUUACAGAUCUUAAUAUGUGUGGUGUGUGGUGUGUACUUCUAUGACCAUAAACCAAUAUUCUGCAGUACGACCCUCACAAUUGGCUAGCAUGUGUCAGAAGUUUUAUUAUUUAAUAUGGCUUGUGUUUGUAGCCUAAGUUCUGAUUAGCUAAUUUUAGGGCAUUAUUCUUUUGAAAUGCCCAAUGGAACAAAGGCCAACACUCGUCACAGGUGAUAACCAACAGCAUUUUAGAAACUGACAUCAGAGACCCAGUAUUGACCAUAGUGUUCUGCGCACUGUUAUUGUUUUGGUUUACAUGAUACAUGUUUCUACUGUUUUCCAACACUGCACAGAGUGCAGUGCACCCUGGCCAAAACUGGGUAUUUAAAAGAAGCGAUAACAGUAAGGGUAAUUGACAGUUUGAACAUGGGACAGAGAGCAUUAGCGGAUAUACAUGACUUGUAUGACUGUAAUGAUGCUUCUUCCUCUCACUUCCUUGAGUUCAGCAACUAGUGCUAAUAUCUCCAUCAUAAAAUUAUAAUAAAACUUACUUGUAAAUAGCUGAACUCACUACAUCCACAAUUCCUCCUGCGAUCAGGACAAAGAAAAGUUAAA